RNAcentral lists this ribosomal RNA (511 nucleotides) under uncultured bacterium. RNAcentral's name for it is "bacterial SSU rRNA". It matches the Rfam family "Bacterial small subunit ribosomal RNA", at positions 34 to 518 of the family's 1533-position model. The record is from RNAcentral.
CGCUGGCGGCGUGCCUAAUACAUGCAAGUCGAACGGUCUUUCUAUGGAAGCUUGCUUCCACUGAGAAGAUAGUGGCGAACGGGUGAGUAACACGUGGGUAACCUGCCCAUAAGAGGGGGAUAACAUCCGGAAACGGGUGCUAAUACCGCAUAGUUUUCUUGAUCGCAUGAUCGGGAAAGGAAAGACGGCCUUUGUGCUGUCGCUUAUGGAUGGACCCGCGGCGUAUUAGUUAGUUGGUGAGGUAACGGCUCACCAAGACGAUGAUACGUAGCCGACCUGAGAGGGUGAUCGGCCACAUUGGGACUGAGACACGGCCCAAACUCCUACGGGAGGCAGCAGUAGGGAAUCUUCCGCAAUGGGCGAAAGUCUGACGGAGCAACGCCGCGUGAGUGAAGAAAGGUUUUCGGAUCGUAAAACUCUGUUGUCAGAGAAGAACAAGUUGGAGAGUAACUGCUCCAGCCUUGACGGUAUCUGACCAGAAAGCCACGGCUAACUACGUGCCAGCAGCGGC